CAACAUCGGCUGUGCUGAUAUUUAUGAUUUUCUGCGACCACAGCUAUAAUACAGUCAAUUGCUCAGACUCGACCCAUGCAGAUGUACAUUGUCCAAAACGAACUCCAAAAGGACCAUAUGGUUUAAGUGACAGUUCACAAACUUUCAUUGACUGUGUCACACUGUCAUCAACUAAUGGAGACAAGGUAUCGGGGCCGUUACUGCCGGCACU
This is a long non-coding RNA of Lingula anatina, 211 nucleotides long. The record is from RefSeq and is a predicted model, not a curated record. NCBI's taxonomy places the organism in Eukaryota, Metazoa, Brachiopoda, Lingulata, Lingulida, Lingulidae.